RNAcentral lists this ribosomal RNA (369 nucleotides) under Streptococcus pneumoniae. RNAcentral describes it as "bacterial SSU rRNA". It matches the Rfam family "Bacterial small subunit ribosomal RNA", at positions 1 to 360 of the family's 1533-position model. The record is from RNAcentral. Lineage: Bacteria; Bacillati; Bacillota; Bacilli; Lactobacillales; Streptococcaceae.
AUAAUGGAGAGUUUGAUCCUGGCUCAGGACGAACGCUGGCGGCGUGCCUAAUACAUGCAAGUCGAGCGGAACCAUUGGAGCUUGCUCCUUUGGUUUAGCGGCGGACGGGUGAGUAACACGUGGGCAACCUGCCCUGCAGAUCGGGAUAACUCCGGGAAACCGGUGCUAAUACCGAAUAGUUUAUGGCCUCUCAUGAGGCUGUACGGAAAGACGGUUUCGGCUGUCACUGCAGGAUGGGCCCGCGGCGCAUUAGCUAGUUGGUGAGGUAACGGCUCACCAAGGCCACGAUGCGUAGCCGACCUGAGAGGGUGAUCGGCCACACUGGGACUGAGACACGGCCCAGACUCCUACGGGAGGCAGCAGUAGGGA